This 520-nucleotide unclassified non-coding RNA is filed under the name uncultured Glomus. RNAcentral describes it as "SSU rRNA". It matches the Rfam family "Eukaryotic small subunit ribosomal RNA", at positions 569 to 1091 of the family's 1831-position model. The record is from RNAcentral. Lineage: Eukaryota; Fungi; Glomeromycota; Glomeromycetes; Glomerales; Glomeraceae.
AGCAGCCGCGGUAAUUCCAGCUCCAAUAGCGUAUAUUAAAGUUGUUGCAGUUAAAAAGCUCGUAGUUGAAUUUCGGGAUCAAUGCGUCGGUCGUGCCUUCGGUACGUACUAGCGUCAUUGAUUCCUCCCUUCUGAAGAACCGUGAUGUCAUUAAUUUGGUGUUACGGGGAAUCAGGACUGUUACCUUGAAAAAUUAGAGUGUUUAAAGCAGGCUAACGCUUGAAUACAUUAGCAUGGAAUAAUGAAAUAGGACGUUCGAACCUAUUUGUUGGUUUCUAGGAUCGACGUAAUGAUUAAUAGGGAUAGUUGGGGGCAUUAGUAUUCAAUUGUCAGAGGUGAAAUUCUUGGAUUUAUUGAAGACUAACUACUGCGAAAGCAUUUGCCAAGGAUGUUUUCAUUAAUCAAGAACGAAAGUUAGGGGAUCGAAGACGAUCAGAUACCGUCGUAGUCUUAACCAUAAACUAUGCCGACUAGGGAUCGGAUGAUGUUAAUUUUUUAAUGUACUCAUUCGGCGCCUUAC